GUGGGGAUGAUCAAACACGAACGCAUGUUUGCUUUUGUAGGGGGACAAAAGUCAAAUACACUGAAAAUUUCAAGAUUCAAUCUUAAAGUAAUUCCCUAACCCCUAAGACAUUCAAAAAGUCAACUUCUUGUUGAUUGAGAUAGAUUAACCAUAUACGUAAUUUUAUGGACACUUUUAGCUUAGGAUCCUCCAAUUAUAUAUUAAAAAG
Molecule: long non-coding RNA, 208 nt
Organism: Arabidopsis thaliana (thale cress)
Lineage: Eukaryota; Viridiplantae; Streptophyta; Magnoliopsida; Brassicales; Brassicaceae
Product: other RNA
Exons: 1
Source: RefSeq